UGCAAACCUGUGCGGGCUUGCCGGUGGC
RNAcentral lists this non-coding RNA (28 nucleotides) under Mus musculus (house mouse). The record is from RNAcentral. Lineage: Eukaryota; Metazoa; Chordata; Mammalia; Rodentia; Muridae.